RNAcentral lists this ribosomal RNA (428 nucleotides) under Bacteroidota bacterium. Its description in RNAcentral is "Bacteroidetes bacterium partial 16S ribosomal RNA". It matches the Rfam family "Bacterial small subunit ribosomal RNA", at positions 355 to 776 of the family's 1533-position model. Lineage: Bacteria; Pseudomonadati; Bacteroidota. The record is from RNAcentral.
UAGGGAAUCUUCCGCAAUGGGCGAAAGCCUGACGGAGCAACGCCGCGUGAGUGAUGAAGGUCUUCGGAUCGUAAAACUCUGUUAUUAGGGAAGAACAAAUGUGUAAGUAACUAUGCACAUCUUGACGGUACCUAAUCAGAAAGCCACGGCUAACUACGUGCCAGCAGCCGCGGUAAUACGUAGGUGGCAAGCGUUGUCCGGAUUUAUUGGGCGUAAAGCGAGCGCAGGCGGUUAGAUAAGUCUGAAGUUAAAGGCAGUGGCUCAACCAUUGUAGGCUUUGGAAACUGUUUAACUUGAGUGCAGAAGGGGAGAGUGGAAUUCCAUGUGUAGCGGUGAAAUGCGUAGAUAUAUGGAGGAACACCGGUGGCGAAAGCGGCUCUCUGGUCUGUAACUGACGCUGAGGCUCGAAAGCGUGGGGAGCGAACAGG